Molecule: long non-coding RNA, 2536 nt
Organism: Biomphalaria glabrata
Lineage: Eukaryota; Metazoa; Mollusca; Gastropoda; Planorbidae
Exons: 5
Source: RefSeq, a predicted model, not a curated record
UGUGUUACAUUUUUUUUUACCUAGGUGUGUUGUGUUUUUUUUUAUUUGCUUACGACAAAGGCCUAGUCUGUACGUAGGUUUUAGUCAUAUUCGAUCCCUCACCAAUGAGAGGCCCUCGGAGGCUGCCAAAUUAGCCUAUCCAUAAGGCCUGUAAUAAUUUUACAGUACCAACUGAGGUAAAUUUUUAUUUUGAGGCAGCUUGCAUAUUCACGGAAACUGGGACAAAUCAGGACACGAAUCUCGAAAACGGCUCUAACCUUUUUCCUAGCUAUACUGUUGUUCAGUGUUUCCCAAAUUGGAGUACGCAUAUCCCGAGGGGUACGGAAAGGGUUUAAAGAAGGUAACAAUAUAUGAGAAGUUCAAUAUCAAAACGAUGUGUACACUAGCAAAAGUUUAUGUCAUUGUCAUCGUAUCAUGCAUAACAGUGUGUCAUCAAUUAUGCCUUGCUUCCUGUCCGGCUGGAAAAAAACUUUCUAGCAACGCCACUUGCGAACCAUGUCCGCACAAUUCAUACAUAAGUGAAACCAACCACACCCACACCUUAUGUAAUGAUUGCACCAAAUCUGCACCCAGCUUUGCUGAGUUAUGGUAUCCCUGCAAUGCAACUCAUAAUUCAGUGUACAGGUGUAUUAACAAGACAUUUAAUAGCAAUGGUCCCGACAUAUUGUGCCAGCCAUGUAGAACAUGCACUAAUUUGGUCAGAAAUUGCACAUAUGAUCAAGAUUCCAUCUGCUGUUUUGGAAAAAACAUGAUUUUAAAAGAACUCAAAAGUGAGGAAACCUGCAUAAAUAUAUCCUCAAACUACCAGUAUUGCUGCAUAGACUCGGAGCAGACAACAGUAAAAGAUGAUGUCACACAGAUGAAAACACUCACAGUACAAGAGCAUACUCUCACUAAGGACAAUACAACUUUAGCAAAUAAGUUGGAACCAAAUAAAAGCAGUGAUGAUCUUGAUGCUGGAAAAAUCAUAGGCAUUAGUGUCAGCUGUGUUAUCGUUAUUGCUAUAAUUAUAGCAGUCGUCGCAUGUGUGUACUGUAAGCGACAAAGAACUAGACAAAGAGCUAGUCAAGUCAGACGAAAAAAUGAAGGUAAAACGUCAGAGAGUCCAUUUCUCUAAUUGAGCGAUAAUGUUAGACAGUUGUCUUAUAAUUAUGACGAAUUUGUAACAUCCUUAAAUGUAAUAACUAAAGCAUUAUCAGUCGGAAUUUCAAAUGUCUAUGUUUUUUUUUUUUUUUGUACAUUAUCUUUAUUCAGUCGCUUAUAAUGUUUGAACACAGAUCUUAAUAACUGCUGCAACGAUUUUCGAAACAAGAAUAACAUAAUAAGCUCAUAUUUAGCGUAGUUGUAUCAAUUACUUUUUAUUUGUCAAGCAAUUAUAUUUGUAAUUAAUCUAGACUAACAAUAAUAACUCUGUGCGAUUGAAAAUAUUUUUACCAAUUUUUUUUGGUUUAGCGCAAUUUCAUGUUUUUAGAUUUCUCAAUACGCUAUGAUUCUAUCACUGUCCAUUUGUCUUGACCAGUUGGAAAGGGUUGGAAGGAGAAAGAACGCAGUAUCUGGAUGAUCGCUUUGCUUUUUAUUUAUAAAAAGAAAGAUGAACGCCCAAUUUCGAACUCGUGGGCUAAAAUUUUCUAAGGCUUUUUAGGCCAGCACGGUAACCACUCUGAUAGCGAAGAGCUUAUGAACAUGGAAGAUAGUACAUUUAUCUAUGGUUUCCUCCUAUUUCAAGUCUGUGUUCACUAAACCUCAGAUGACGACCUAUAAAGGGGACUAAUUCAGCUUAUACCACACUUCAGUCAAGUAAAAUGUUCCCCUUUAUUCAAGAUACCAAACAAUAUAAUUAAUUACCAAUAUUUAAUAAACUUUUUUUUUUAAGUGGGGUACGCCUAACCCCAGGGUCACGGGAAGACUUCGGAGGGGGGACUCGUUGCACCUUACUAACUAUGCUGAUUUUUUAAAUACACAUUUAUUAUGUUCUGUUAAGGAAUUAAAAUAUGAGGUGGGGAAGGCGAUGGGUACUCUGAAUUACAAAAAUUAUACACGGGGUAGCUACUCAUAGGUCAAAAGUUUGGGAAACACUGUCUUAGUCUGUCAACCGUCUCUCUCCAUUCCUCUCUGUCCUUAGCUUUGAAUAGAAUGUCAUUCAAUGACAGGCCUGUCCCUUCUUUUAUGUUGUCUUUGCGAGCCGUGAGGACCUUGUAAUGAGGCCGUAGUGUCAGAGUUUUAUGACAAUGUGUCAUGUAUCAGUUUUAGAACCCCUGUAAUAUUUGAUGACUAGUGGUCACUUAACUAUUGCGGUCAGGAUGAGAUUUUUGCUCGGACAAGUGGACACCUCAGUUGUUCUUAGACUCUCAGAGCGAGAGGAUUGCUAUGGAUAUUUUUUGACAGCAGAGUUAUGUAUUAGUAUUGAAGUAUUGAAGUUAUUAUAAUUGAUUUGAAUUUGGGAUUUUUUCCUUGGAUAUGUAUAAUGUGUGAUGGCUGAAGGUGCCAAUAUCUUUUGUGAUUUGUUUCUAUAUGUAAUAAAAUCCAUGUCUGCUGA